Molecule: long non-coding RNA, 904 nt
Filed under: Homo sapiens (human)
Lineage: Eukaryota; Metazoa; Chordata; Mammalia; Primates; Hominidae
Description: long non-coding RNA NONHSAT223598.1
Source: RNAcentral
UAAGCAGCGCUUUAUAACUGCAGCCUUUCACUUCCUGCUCCCCAGUCUGCCUGGCCCAGCCAACACUUCACCUUCUUUCUUAGCCAGUUUGCUGGGAGAACACCCUACCGGUAGCACAUCUUACCGUAUUCACCCCCUCCCAUCAAACUCGCCCCAAUUCUCUCUCCACAUCCAGAGCUCUCUCCCCAGGUUGGAAGGUGAGUUCACUGCUGACUUAAAUUAAGCGCUGAUGCGAGAGUUUCCGGGGAGUCCCGCCAGGGUCCUUCCCCAGACACCUGAAGAGAUGGGGGAAGGAGAAUCAAUUUGGAGAGCCAAGUUUGCCUGACAUUUUGGAGCACACAUUUACCCAGGACCCCAAGUUCCUUGUAGCUGCUAAAUGCUGUACUAGUUCUAAAAUGUAAAUUAGCUUCAAGGCAAGUGGAGAGAAGCCUUAGACUAUUCUGAGAUAUUUGUUCAUUCAUUUCUUUGCUUUGAGAAAGAAUCCUCCCAACGUGAUGGGAAAGAUAUCUCUGGGCCACAUUAUGGCUUCUGGCAGCAACUCUCAUCCUUAGUGCCUAGAUCUGGAGCCCCCACCAACCCUUUGUCCCCAAGUUACAUUUCCUUAGUCCAGGCCUAUUCCACCAUUUCAUCUUCUUUCUCCCUUCCUCGCUGAGGGGCAGAGGCCGCCUUUCUUUUGCCCAAGCUGAGAGGGAGAAUUCCUGAUCCCUAGGAAAAAUGCUGUCUCCACUCCCAAGGAACUUUGUGUAGUUUAGGAAUUGCAUUUUGUAAAAUCAAAUUGCCUGUUGCAAUAUGUUUCCAUGAAGAAAAAUCCCGCCUUCAACUUCUACGUUAUUCAUCCUGCUUUUAGAAAUGACCCUUGCCCUGAUCUGAGGUGGAAGAAAUAAAGGUCUGGUAAAGAAAUGAU